CAUGUGCCAUUGCUGCAGGAUAAAACAAUAACCAAAUGCUAAAGAAGAAAUAACGAUUGAGAGAAAUGCAGAGAGUAUGAUUAUAAAUAUGAG
Neltuma alba is the source of this 93-nucleotide long non-coding RNA. RefSeq lists it as uncharacterized. NCBI's taxonomy places the organism in Eukaryota, Viridiplantae, Streptophyta, Magnoliopsida, Fabales, Fabaceae. The transcript is spliced from 3 exons. The record is from RefSeq and is a predicted model, not a curated record.